AUGUGUCCCUGCAUUUGUACUCAUGUGUAUAAUGAUAAAAUCAUAUUGUAAUUACAGUAGUUACCAUGUGUAGAUAAUUUAUUGUAACUAAUACAGGUAAUUCACAGCAAUCAAGGUACUGUAAUUUCACCAUUUUAUUCUAUUUUUAACCCAACCAUUGUAAAAUAUAUCUGUCAGUUGGACUGCAUAUUGUCUUCUGUCUUAUAGUUGUAUUUUAAAUGCCACUUUUUUGAUUAAGUGAGAUAAACAAAUGUAACUAUAGCAAAUAUAUAGAACAUCUGUUAGCCAUACGUUUUAAAGAUUGCAAAACUACACAGAUCAAUUUAAAGAAAUAAAGCAUUUUCUGAAAAUCUCCAUAAUUUCAUCAUAGGCAUGAAAUCUUUGGCAGAAUGAAGUACCCCACAUACACCACCCAGUGAGAGAUAGAGGUACCUGUUCUUUGAGGUAGCAAAGCCGGUCCAAGAGAAUCAAACCCUCUAUACAAGGGGAUAAGGCUACUUUCAGCUGAAAGAAAGAUGCAUACAAUAGUUCCAAUUGUCGAUACCAGAAACUUAACUGGACCUGCAACAUAAACACUGCCAUUACAAGAGAUGGUCAGUAAUUCUGCACAUCAGCUGCCCGAGUGAAUGUCUUUCUAGCAGCAACUACAACAUUGCAGAUUUUAGCCACCUUGUGUGCUACACAGCUAUUAUAGUCCAAGGUUUGAAGUGCACAACUCCUAUAUCAUACGGGAACUUGGGUGACGUCAAAAAAUACUUCUUCAUAAAGCGUGGUGGAAAUCUGAAACUCCGGCCCCCAAACAAACUGAUGAUGUGAGGUCAAUUGAAAAUUUCAGAACUCAGGUUCAGAAUAUGCAUGUGUAGAUAAAUAAAUAUCAGCUA
Non-coding RNA from Chiloscyllium plagiosum (whitespotted bambooshark), 881 nucleotides. The record is from RefSeq and is a predicted model, not a curated record. NCBI's taxonomy places the organism in Eukaryota, Metazoa, Chordata, Chondrichthyes, Orectolobiformes, Hemiscylliidae.